Kogia breviceps (pygmy sperm whale) is the source of this 1854-nucleotide non-coding RNA. Lineage: Eukaryota; Metazoa; Chordata; Mammalia; Artiodactyla; Physeteridae. The record is from RefSeq and is a predicted model, not a curated record.
GCCCGACCGCGCGGUGUAGACCGAGAAAACGGAAGCUUUGCACUCCGCGAACUGCUCCUGCCUCCCUCCGGGGGCCAGCUUCUCCCUGAGCUUGGCUGAUGUGAGUGCACUGAAGAGCUUUGAACUACUGGACAUGGAACAGAUAAGAGGGAGAGAUCUUUCCAUCAUCUCCCUCCUAGCCCGACUCCCAGGGGCCUCCAGCAAAUCAUCGUGUAUUCUGGAAAUACAAAACCGCUGGAAUAAUCACCGUAUCAAGAUGAAAUGAGAAAGCCAUUCAGGGUGGGCCUGGGCAGGACGUUUCCUGUGAGCUAAACAAGUGUCAAUGCAAUGCAGGCACACCAUAAGCCUCCCAAUAAAUGAGGAUUCAACGAAUAAAGACCUACUCACAUGCAACCAAGUUAUGAUUCUAACUGUUAAGCGUCACUGGAAAGUAACCAGAAACCCCUUGAUUCAAAAUUUCCAGAAAUUAUCAAGUUCAAGAUGAAUAAAGAGAACAUGAAAUCUGUUUAAUGUGCUGAAUCUUAUAUACUAAUUGUUUACAUUUCGAAAAAUCACUUGUCACCAUUGAAUAUCUGCCAAAAAAUAAUACAACAAUUGUAGAAAUGAUGGAGAAGUGUGAGGAGACUGCAAAUCCCCAUCCAUAUUUUCACUUAAUAUUAGCUCUCUCUUCAGUGAAAACGGUCAUCAGGAGACUCUUCAUUGUUCAUUCUUAGUGUGAAUUGGGAGGGAGAAGGCGGAGUUAAAAUAUCUGUAAAAUAGGUUGAAGAGACCGAAAGCUAUCACGCAAGAACAUGGUGUAACUACGGUCUGAAUAAAAGCGACCAUUGUCCUUUUAUUCACUUUUAAAGUUUUUUAUUUAAUUUCGAAUUUAUUUUAUUAUUUACAUAUGCAUAGGUUUUAAGCGCUCAAUCCAAUGCCAUUUGACAAAAGCAUACAGCAAUAUGACCACCACCUCAAUCAAGCUAUGGAACAAUUCAGUUAUCACUUACACUUUCUCAUGCCUCUUUCUAGUCAGCUGCCCAGUUGUUUUGAAUUCUGUCACCAUAACUUAGUUUUGCUUGUUUUAGAGCAUCAUGCACAUGUAAUUAUAUGGGGGACAUACUUCUUUUGCUUGUCACAUUAUUUUUGAGCUAUACAGUAUUCAAGAUUUUGCUCCUAUCAGUAGCUUGUUCCUCUUUAUGGCCGUGUUCACACUCCAUUGUGUGAGUACCUCACAACUGUUUAUCCAUUCACCUGUUGAUGAAUGUUUGGGUUGUUUCUAGCUGUUUACUAUUAUUAAGUAAGCCAUGAACAUUUUAAAAUAUUUUUUGAAGACAGUUUUAUUACUAUUGACUAAAUAUCCAAGAGUAGCACUGCUGGGUCAUUAUAAUACUUGUAUCUUUAACUUGAGGAGAAACUGCCAAUAUAUUCACUUCUGAUGUAGUUGUCAACGGACCUGCAUCUACUCCCUUCAUCAUAAAAAGAUAAAAGGAUAUAAUGGAUACUAUUCAAUGCAAACUAUAAUGUGCGGUUGUUUAGAAUUUUAAUUGUGAUUUUCUUCUGUCUGUAGAUGUAGAAAUUUUCUCUUUGGUGUUUUGACAGAAAGGUCCCCUUCUUAUUCCAUAUCAACAGAUUACCACUUUUAUUUCGGGUUUAGGUAAAUGUGGACUUGUUUUUUGGGAUUUUGUUUGUUAGAGAAAAUAAGGGAAAAAACAUAAAUACAAAUUAUCAAAUUAAGAUGAAUAAUAUAGAAGAGGCUACCUGUUAUUUUGUCAAAUGUAUAUCUCUUUUUACAUUAAUGAAAUUUCUAUGUAAUCAAGCUAUGUAGAUGGCAGUAAUUUUGGUCAUUAAGAUCUGUAGUCAGCAGCAAAUAAG